This 252-nucleotide non-coding RNA is filed under the name Paramoeba aestuarina. The record is from RNAcentral. Lineage: Eukaryota; Discosea; Flabellinia; Dactylopodida; Paramoebidae.
AAUAUGUCAAAAGAAAAAAAGAGUGAAGAGAAAAAACUUUUGUCUCUUCUCUCCUCUCUAUCUUCUGUUCUCUCUUCUUUUUCUCCCUUGAUUUUUCAAACAAAGAAAGAGGAAGACGGAGAGAAUCAAGGAGGAGGAAGAGAGGGGAGUGUGUUGAGAAAGUUUUUGAGAGCGUCUUGUUUGUUAACUGUCAUUAGUAGUUAUUUGCGAACAGUUACGUGGUUAGAAGUUAUGGCCUCUGUACCUCUUUAU